Molecule: ribosomal RNA, 237 nt
Filed under: uncultured bacterium
Lineage: Bacteria
Description: partial 16S ribosomal RNA
Source: RNAcentral
GACGAACGCUGGCGGCGUGCUUAACACAUGCAAGUCGAGCGGUAAGGCCCUUUCGGGGUACGACGAGCGGCGAACGGGUAGGAGUAACAACGUGAGUAAAUACUGCCUUUCGGUCGUUGGGUAAGUAAACUUACGGGUAAAGUACGGGGCGUAAUGCCUCGAUGUUUACUUGUCUGCUGCAUGGUGGGUGGUGGAAAGAAUUUUGGUCCGAGGAGUGAGCUCGCGGUCUAUCAGCUU